GUCCUAGCCGUAAACGGUGCUUAUUUGCUGUGAGAGGAAUCGACCCCUUUCGUGGCGUAGCCAACGCGAUAAAUAAGCCGCCUGGGAAGUACGGUCGCAAGAUUAAACUCAAAGAAAUUGACGGGGCCUGCACAAGCGGUGGAGUAUGUGGCUCAAUUCGAUGCAACGCGAAGAACCUUACCUGGCCUUGACAUGUAGGUAGUAGAAGGGUGAAAGCCUGACGAGUGUAGCAAUACACAGCUUACACAGGUGCUGCAUGGCUGUCGU
RNAcentral lists this ribosomal RNA (267 nucleotides) under uncultured bacterium. RNAcentral describes it as "partial 16S ribosomal RNA". It matches the Rfam family "Bacterial small subunit ribosomal RNA", at positions 793 to 1055 of the family's 1533-position model. The record is from RNAcentral.